RNAcentral lists this ribosomal RNA (1498 nucleotides) under Actinomyces sp. feline oral taxon 321. Its description in RNAcentral is "bacterial SSU rRNA". It matches the Rfam family "Bacterial small subunit ribosomal RNA". Lineage: Bacteria; Bacillati; Actinomycetota; Actinomycetes; Actinomycetales; Actinomycetaceae. The record is from RNAcentral.
GAGUUUGAUCCUGGCUCAGGACGAACGCUGGCGGCGUGCUUAACACAUGCAAGUCGAACGGGAUCCAAGUGGGCUUGCUUGCUUGGUGAGAGUGGCGAACGGGUGAGUAACACGUGAGUAACCUGCCCCCUUCUUUGGGAUAACGACCAGAAAUGGUUGCUAAUACUGAAUAUUCACGCAUUGUCGCAUGGUGGUGUGUGGAAAGGUUUUUCUGGUGGGGGAUGGGCUCGCGGCCUAUCAGCUUGUUGGUGGGGUGAUGGCCUACCAAGGCUUUGACGGGUAGCCGGCCUGAGAGGGUGACCGGUCACACUGGGACUGAGAUACGGCCCAGACUCCUACGGGAGGCAGCAGUGGGGAAUAUUGCACAAUGGGCGAAAGCCUGAUGCAGCGACGCCGCGUGAGGGAUGACGGCCUUCGGGUUGUAAACCUCUUUCAGUAAGGACGCAGGCCUAGGCUUUUGUUUGGGUUGACUUUACUUACAGAAGAAGCGCCGGCUAACUACGUGCCAGCAGCCGCGGUAAUACGUAGGGCGCAAGCGUUGUCCGGAAUUAUUGGGCGUAAAGAGCUCGUAGGCGGUUUGUCGCGUCUGUCGUGAAAACCCACAGCUUAACUGUGGGCUUGCGGUGGGUACGGGCAGGCUUGAGUGCGGUAGGGGAGACUGGAAUUCCUGGUGUAGCGGUGGAAUGCGCAGAUAUCAGGAGGAACACCGGUGGCGAAGGCGGGUCUCUGGGCCGUUACUGACGCUGAGGAGCGAAAGCAUGGGGAGCGAACAGGAUUAGAUACCCUGGUAGUCCAUGCCGUAAACGUUGGGCACUAGGUGUGGGGGCUGUUUCCAUGGUUCCUGCGCCGUAGCUAACGCAUUAAGUGCCCCGCCUGGGGAGUACGGUCGCAAGGCUAAAACUCAAAGGAAUUGACGGGGGCCCGCACAAGCGGCGGAGCAUGCGGAUUAAUUCGAUGCAACGCGAAGAACCUUACCAAGGCUUGACAUACAUCCAGAGUCUGCAGAGAUGUGGGCGCAUUUAGUUGGGGGUGUACAGGUGGUGCAUGGUUGUCGUCAGCUCGUGUCGUGAGAUGUUGGGUUAAGUCCCGCAACGAGCGCAACCCUUGUCUCAUGUUGCCAGCACGUUAUGGUGGGGACUCGUGAGAGACUGCCGGGGUUAACUCGGAGGAAGGUGGGGAUGACGUCAAAUCAUCAUGCCCCUUAUGUCUUGGGCUUCACGCAUGCUACAAUGGCCAGUACAGAGGGUUGCGAUAUCGUAAGGUUGAGCGAAUCCCUUAAAGCUGGUCUCAGUUCGGAUUGGGGUCUGCAACUCGACCCCAUGAAGUCGGAGUCGCUAGUAAUCGCAGAUCAGCAACGCUGCGGUGAAUACGUUCUCGGGCCUUGUACACACCGCCCGUCACGUCACGAAAGUUGGUAACACCCGAAGCCCAUGGCCUAACCGUUUGGGGGGAGUGGUCGAAGGUGGGACUGGCGAUUGGGACGAAGUCGUAACAAGGU